UUAGAGCUGGAGUCUGAGACCCCUCUCUUUACAGGCCUGUCUCCUUCAUCCAGAGAGCAGCUAACCCCUUUCUUCCCAGAGCAUUAAUACUGUCUCAGGGCAGGAAGGAAAAUAGGACACUGAGUGAUUUCCUCCUUUCUCAGCAGUGUCCUCUCCUCACUAGCAGCCACAUCAAAACACCUCCCUGGGCAGUGGCAGGUAAGAGAGGUGACAGUCAGCAAGCUGGCCAGAGUUUGCUGCUCGGGUCUUAUCUCCUCAAUGGAAAGCGAGGGCAGGUCAGCUGGAAGCACCAGCAAGUCAUGUAGUGGCACCCAGAGUGCUGCAGCUGGACCCCCACAUACCUGCACUUGGACAAAGGCAUGGGUGAUGGCUUGAGCAGAAUGCUCAGCAGAAACCCUGCCUGAUGCGGUGGCUUUGACAAUGUUGCCAAGUCGCUGAGAUUCCUUACAGAUUCAUAAUAUUUGUUGAUAUGAAAUGCUCAGUCUGUUCUUAAAAACAAGACAACCAAUGCCGCAAACAAAAACAAAUUUUAUCAAGGAGAGAAAGCUGGCAAAUGCAAGCCAUGAAGUCUGAGUCUCCAGACCUAAAGAUUUGUUUACCAGCAGGAUCCAAAGUUAACUGAGGAAUAACCAUGGUGCAGCAGAUGGGCAUCCAGCCUCAGCCCAUGCCUCCCUGCUGCUUCCCUGCCAGAAGAAGAAGAUCCCCUGGUGAGAUGUUAACUGCUGCCCUGGGACUCCUCUUCUGACACUCCAACCUCCAGUACGAUCCAAAUGCUGAGAAAGGGCUGGUAUCUACCACUCAAAAAAGGCUCAAGCUACAAUGAAGAAGAGAUGAAAUCCAAUUAAGUUUUUGGUAAGUACUUAAACGAUAGAAAUUAACAACUGAUACAUAAUACAAGUUAUUAUGCUGAAGUACAAGAAAUUUAUGAAGGGAGAAAUAGAAGCAUAUAUAUUUAUGAUGUUUUCAAGAAGUUGUUGAAAAAUAUUCUAGUGUUUCAGUUACAGCUUUGUCUAGAUACACCAAACUGAAAUAAAAAUGCAAUGUUCUUUCUUCAUAUUUGAUGAUACAUUCACAGUUAGGAGGAAAAGAAGAACAUUAUUACUCAGGUUUAAGGGAUCUGAAUAAGGACUGUUAAAACUAUUUCAUCUAUCUAAUGGAAUACCUUUGACAAGAAAAAUUAUUUUCUAAAAGAAAAUAGUGCAGAUAUGGCUAUUACUGGCUGAGAUCAUCUCUUCUGUUCUCAUGACCUUAGAUGGCUGUUUGUUAUGAUGCGUGAGUAGCCUAGUCCUUAAGUCUCUUUCAGAACAUCCAACCUAAUUCUCCCUUACUGCAUUUUGGUCUGUUAUACUUCCUUCUCUUUAGUGUGUUUACAUAUUUAAAGACUUAACUCAUGUCUUCCCUCAGCUCUUCAUAUUUUUUUUUUCCCCACAGAGAGACCUCUGGUCUUUUCUCAGUUGCUCCACAACUUAACUCAAAAAAUGUGUCCAAAAAUAAAUGUAUAAAAUAAGCUCAAUAGAUAAUAGUUAUUUCUUAUCUUAAAUGUGUCUCUUCAUACAUACAUCCCAGUGUAUUCUACUUGUUUUAGUAGCAUACUUUUGUUGUUGUUGUUAACUGAGCCUGUGAUCCACAGCAAUUCCAAUCCCUUUUCUUAGAAAUGGGAUAAUGUAAACUAGUAGCACUGACCGACUUCAGUCUUUUUGCUACUAUGCCAUUCUAAAACUGUUUGACACAAUGUCAGUUGAAUGUUCAGGCUCACAAUUUUAACAAAGUUUGUCUCUGUAUGUCGUAUUCAUAUGUUGAGUUGUUUACAUAAACUGUUAGAGCUAAAACCACCUACUGCCUACAAGAUACUACCUAGAUUGAAAUUUCAUGGCCAUCUACUGUUUAGACAUAGGGUAGUCUCAAUAAAUAAGGCAAAUAAUGCCAUGUGGAAUAAGUGCAAAUAAUGCGC
Oxyura jamaicensis (ruddy duck) is the source of this 1951-nucleotide long non-coding RNA. RefSeq lists it as uncharacterized. Lineage: Eukaryota; Metazoa; Chordata; Aves; Anseriformes; Anatidae. The transcript has 3 exons. The record is from RefSeq and is a predicted model, not a curated record.